AAGAGCCGUAUGAAUCGAGAGGUUCACGUACGGUUCUGUGAGAGGCUUAGGGGUGAGAUUCCCCUUUGCCUACUCGAU
Molecule: non-coding RNA, 78 nt
Organism: Schleiferia thermophila str. Yellowstone
Lineage: Bacteria; Pseudomonadati; Bacteroidota; Flavobacteriia; Flavobacteriales; Schleiferiaceae
Source: Rfam